Molecule: long non-coding RNA, 3330 nt
Organism: Phragmites australis (common reed)
Lineage: Eukaryota; Viridiplantae; Streptophyta; Magnoliopsida; Poales; Poaceae
Exons: 10
Source: RefSeq, a predicted model, not a curated record
UGGUUCGAAGCGAGCGAAAAUAUCGCCCCCACGACGCGUUCCUCUUCGUCCUCGCCUUCCCAUCCUCUCGGCCUAAAAAAAAACAUCGCGGUCUCUCCUCUCGUUCUACCCACCGUUGCGGCUCCUCCCGUGUUCCGCGCCGUCACCGGCUCCAUCUGCUGCCACAUCGGCCCGCCGCCUCCCCUCCACAAGAUCCGGGCGUUGCUGCUAGGGAGGCGGCCGAACAGGGGUGGUGCCGGUGGCCACUACGGCGCAAGGGAGACGCGGAGAGCUGGAGGAGAAGGGCGCGCGACGUGCAGACUGGUGAGGAGAGGCUGCGGGGCAGGCCGGUCGGCCGGAUCUGGUGGACGGGAGGCGACCUUCUUCUCCGCCGUUCACCACGCCCCCAGAUGCCUCGCACCUCGAUGCUGCUUCCGUCCCCUCCAUUGGCUCGCCUCGACUCCCUCCAGCUGUGUGGGUUGCCUCCCUUCCCCCUCUCCUGACCCUGGUGCUGUGGUGGGCUGGUGGAGAUAGGUGUUGCCGGUGAGAAAAGAGGAGGCGUGGGGAAGGAGGAUGUAGUGGUGCGCGGAUCCACUGCUGAAAGUUGCUUCACGGGGAUGGCGAUGGCUGCUGGUCCGGCGGUUCGGCAUGUCCGGAAGAGACGCGAACGAAGAGGCCUGCAGGCACCGCGUCGGGUCGUCGUCGUACGGAGGCCAUGGGCGUUCUCGCCGUUGACAUCGCACCUCACCUCGAGCUUGUCCUCCAGCCGCUCCUCGGUCCACCGCCUGCUGCCGUGGUGCUGCUCCUCCCUCCGACAACGGAUUUAUCCGGUCAUCCAGACGUGAGUUGAUUUCUUCCUUUGUGUGGCUGUUGUUCAACGCACAAGAAUGCAUGAUCAAUCUACCCAAGGUGUGGGAACAGUUCAAUUCCCAAGAGGUUUGGGGGUUCAGGUCCAACUGAACUCACUUGCCGCAUGUUGGUUCAGCUCAAGAGACGCAUGAGGAGGUGCUUGGGUAUCAUCGGCUUGCAGAAUGUGGCAGCUACUUGAGGAUGAUUAACAAGGAAAAGGAGGACGACUGGUGACUAUGCUGGGUUUGGAUCUUAGGCCGGCUGGAGGCGUAUGAUGGAUGGCAGUGAUGUAGAUAGCAAUAGCUCCAACAUUGAUGCUAGCUGUGACUCUAAAUAUGAAAGACUGAAGCCUCUUACGCAGGUAGCUUCAUAACGAUGAUAGGUUCCUGGCCUCUAGACCAGCAAUUCGGUUAUUUGCCUCCUCCAUUUGGCAAUUCAGGUGCUCUUCCCAGCUAGAUAAAGAUUGGAAAUAAAUAUUCACUAGGCAUUGAUGUUGUAUACCAUCUGCAAGGACCUCGCCUCCAAUGUCCUUAUUUUACAAGGUGGGAGCAGCAAGGGAUGCUAUGGUAUGAAAAGAAAAGAUCUUUCAUGUAGUGAACACACUUCAGUUCAAUAUGCAGUGCCGCCUCUGCAUUGUUUCAUGGGAAGGUUCUUAAGGAAGCCAAAUUUGGCAAGGAGGUAACUUACAUACUGUUGUGGUUGGAAGGUUAAGAGUUUUGAAUGUGGUUGGCCUUUGCAUGGUUUCCAGAAACAUACGAGGUCAACAUUUGGUUAUACUUCUCAAGCUAACCACUAUGAAAAAAAAUCGAACAUGGUUAUGCUACGAGCUGUGCAUUUUUCUUGAACAACGAUAAAUGCUGCAGCUUUUUAGAGUUGUACUUCCCGACUCAGUUACGGUGAGUUCUCCGGUUAUGAGCCAACAAUUCUCUCAUUUUUCUGGGAAAUGGUUAACCUUGGUUCAGGUAUGCUCUGUGAGCCAUUUGAUUUUUUGCACUCGUUCCAUCCUACUUUAUUCAAUCUAUAAAUAUGUAGAUAGCUGAGUACAGUAUGGAAUGUAAAACUUGAGCUCAGUUUGUAAUGAUUAGUUGUGGGAGACCGUAUGUAUCUGAAACUAUUUGAGGCUUUGAACUGAUGGUGAGCAAUGCUCACUGCUGCUAGCUUGCAUAGUUUUUUUCCUCCGCAAAAAUGUCUCUUACGAUGAUUUUGGUACAUAAUGUUGAAUUUUGAUGGAGUCAAUUUGGAAUUGCUGUCUUCUUUUUUCGUAGCAUAAGAAGUGUCCUUGCACACUAAUGCCACUUUUGUUUCGGUUGUGGAGUAUCCCAGCAGAGCCAUUUGCUGAGUACAUUUGUUAUGGAAAUAAAGUGUUUAUGCUUCACUCUGAACUUCGUGACAGAAUUUGUUAGUGUGCCAACAAAACCUUUUAUGAUUAUUGCCAUCUCAAGAAGCCACUACCUAGAUUGCCGAUUUAGAAUGCCAUGCCUCUUUGCCUCCAAAGAGUUCAUGAUGUUCUGCCAAGGUGGAUAUUCAGCUCCUACUCUAAAAUUCCGCUAGGCCUGUAGCUGUAGUUGGACGUAUAAAAUGACGUUUAUAUUUAUAACUUUGCAUCUUCCACGAGUGUUGAAUUUCUUCAUCAUGUUUUCAAUUGCAGCCAUCCUUUUGGUUGAUGCUCUUUUAAUUGUAAAGCCUUUUAAAUUGUAGCCAUAAUGUUAUUUAUAUGUUUUCGGUUUUGUGGACAAUAUGAUGGCCUAUUUCCCUUACUGUGCACAUGUAAUAAUUUUCUAUGGGCAUCUGAACAUUGGUAUCUUAAGAACGUGAUAGUUCUUCUAAGUAGCAAAAUUACGACUUGCUUGAUUCUCUACUAUUGAAUCGCUUGGUUUUGUAAUUAUGUUCCUGAAUAACCUUUUAGAUUUCCUUUCAUUGAUCUACAAAUUUCCUUCUCUUGCCUCCUGUUUUGCCAUGAUUAUGUUCAAAUUUCAGCAUCCUCAGAUGUGUUUUUUUAUGAAAUUAGUAUUAUCAAAUGAGCUAAAAACAUCCCUUUUUUCCUCUCUGAUCUGUUGCAGAACGGCAAAAAUUAGCUGACUGAUGUUUUCUUUACACCCAAUUCGGCAAGCCGCUGGUACUCAAAACAUGAGAGAAGGUGCAUCAAGAUUGUCUAAAGAAUAUCCGAAGCAUCGAGUUGGGUUGUUGACUCCUUUGGUACUGGGGACUAAGAGCAUAUUGAAAUGCAGGUAGGUCGUGUCUAUUGAGAGUGAUCUCAACGAUGGUAACUAGGCUAUUUGGCUUACCAUGCUAUGUCAUAGUGCCACUGCUAGCAUUGAUGUAAUAUGUUUAUCUCUCAUAUGUUCUUUGUAUCAACGUGUAUUAAAUAUUUGUGUUGUAGAACUCAUUUAAGUUUCUGGCUUUUUUCAGCUGCUCCUUUUAUUAUUUAGGUGUUGCUGUAGGUUUAAUUGGUAAGAUACACAUGCAUUGCGUAUAUAUUUUUAAAACUCCCUCUGCAGUCGG